CGAACGCUGGCGGCAGGCCUAACACAUGCAAGUCGAACGCCCCGCAAGGGGAGUGGCGCACGGGUGAGUAACACGUGGGAACCUACCUUCUGGUACGGAACAACCAAGGGAAACUUUGGCUAAUACCGUAUACGACCUCCGGGUGAAAGAUUUAUCGCCGGAAGAGGGGCCCGCGUCCGAUUAGGUAGUUGGUGGGGUAACGGCCUACCAAGCCGACGAUCGGUAGCUGGUCUGAGAGGAUGACCAGCCACACUGGGACUGAGACACGGCCCACACUCCUACGGGAGGCAGCAGUGGGGAAUAUUGGACAAUGGGCGGAAGCCUGAUCCAGCCAUGCCGCGUGAGUGAUGAAGGCCUUCGGGUUGUAAAGCUCUUUCACCCACGACUAUGAUGACGGUAGUGGGAGAAGAAGCCCCGGCUAACUUCGUGCCAGCAGCCGCGGUAAUACGAAGGGGGCAAGCGUUGUUCGGAAUGACUGGGCAUAAAGGGCGCGUAGGCGGUUCGUUGCCUCAGAUGUGAAAGCCCCGGGCUCAACCUGGGAACUGCAUUUGAUACGGGCGGGCUUGAAUCCAAGAGAGGGUGGUGGAAUUCCCAGUGUAGAGGUGAAAUUCGUAGAUAUUGGGAAGAACACCAGUGGCGAAGGCGGCCACCUGGCUUGGUAUUGACGCUGAGGCGCGAAAGCGUGGGGAGCAAACAGGAUUAGAUACCCU
This 710-nucleotide ribosomal RNA is filed under the name Inquilinus limosus. RNAcentral describes it as "bacterial SSU rRNA". It matches the Rfam family "Bacterial small subunit ribosomal RNA", at positions 30 to 788 of the family's 1533-position model. Lineage: Bacteria; Pseudomonadati; Pseudomonadota; Alphaproteobacteria; Rhodospirillales; Rhodospirillaceae. The record is from RNAcentral.